Molecule: ribosomal RNA, 402 nt
Filed under: uncultured bacterium
Lineage: Bacteria
Description: bacterial SSU rRNA
Rfam family: Bacterial small subunit ribosomal RNA
Source: RNAcentral
UGGGGAAUCUUGCACAAUGGGGGAAACCCUGAUGCAGCGACGCCGCGUGAACGAUGAAGCCCUUCGGGGUGUAAAGUUCUUUCGACAGGAACGAUAAUGACGGUACCUGGAGAAGAAGCUGCGGCUAACUACGUGCCAGCAGCCGCGGUAAUACGUAGGCAGCGAGCGUUGUUCGGAGUUACUGGGCGUAAAGAGUGCGUAGGCGGCGAGCCAAGUUUGGUGUGAAAUCUCCCGGCUUAACCGGGAGGGUGCGCCGAAAACUGGUUGGCUGGAGUAUGGGAGAGGAAAGCGGAAUUCCUGGUGUAGCGGUGAAAUGCGUAGAUAUCGGGAGGAACAUCCGUGGCGAAGGCGGCUACCUGGACCAGCACUGACACUGAGGCACGAAAGCGUGGGGAGCAAACA